Molecule: ribosomal RNA, 449 nt
Filed under: uncultured bacterium
Lineage: Bacteria
Description: bacterial SSU rRNA
Rfam family: Bacterial small subunit ribosomal RNA
Source: RNAcentral
AACGAACGCUGGCGGCAUGCCUAACACAUGCAAGUCGAACGAGACCUUCGGGUCUAGUGGCGCACGGGUGCGUAACGCGUGGGAAUCUACCCUUGGGUUCGGAUUAACUCAGAGAAAUUUGAGCUAAUACCGGAUGAUGUCGCAAGACCAAAGAUUUAUCGCCCAAGGAUGAGCCCGCGUAGGAUUAGCUUGUUGGUGAGGUAAAAGCUCACCAAGGCGACGAUCCUUAGCUGGUCUGAGAGGAUGAUCAGCCACACUGGGACUGAGACACGGCCCAGACUCCUACGGGAGGCAGCAGUGGGGAAUAUUGGACAAUGGGCGAAAGCCUGAUCCAGCAAUGCCGCGUGAGUGAUGAAGGCCUUAGGGUUGUAAAGCUCUUUUACCCGGGAUGAUAAUGACAGUACCGGGAGAAUAAGCCCGGCUAACUCCGUGCCAGCAGCCGCGGUAAU